CUUGAACUAGUUUAGUUUUGAAUUAAUUCCAACAACUAAAUCCACCAACUAAUAGGAUUAACUAGUGUUGGUACUUAUGCUUAUCAAACACAGUAUUCCUAAUUUAAAGCUUAGUAUCAACACUAGAUGGACACAAAUCGAUCUUGCAAGAAAAUCAAUUUUGUCAUCAAUAGGAUCAACUAGUGUUGGUACUUAUGCUUAACAAAUAUAUUAUUUCUAAAUUUAAAGCCAAGUGUCAACACUAGAUGGACACAAAUUGAUCUUGCAAAAAAAUCAAUUUUGUCACCAAUAGGAUCAACUAGUGUUGGGUACUUAUGUUUAAUGAAAUUUAAACACAUUAUAGAUAACUAAUACUGUCUUAUUGAUUAAAGGUUUCUUUUUUAUGGGAGCAUGCUGAAAUUAGUUUCUGAAAUGUUGUGCGCUCGAGGAGGUCAGAAGUUGAGUCCUUAUCUAUGUGCGCAUGUUAGUGGUUUCCAUACUUCAAAGGUAAAAUGGUUUGACUUGAUGCUACUACUUCAUGCAGCCUUUCUAUUUUCAUAUGUGCAUACAUAACAUUGGCAGGAGUGACUGAAUGUUCUUGCUUCUGCCUUGUUGACCUGAAUGGUUCUCCAAUAGAGCAUGGCUAUUUAUACCUAAGCUCCACUUGUUAAUUCUGAGAUUUCUUGUUUGUUUUAUCCAGUGGUGUAUUUGUAUAUCUUUC
RNAcentral lists this long non-coding RNA (700 nucleotides) under Solanum tuberosum (potato). RNAcentral's name for it is "long non-coding RNA (STUB_LNC004652)". Lineage: Eukaryota; Viridiplantae; Streptophyta; Magnoliopsida; Solanales; Solanaceae. The record is from RNAcentral.